AACGAACGCUGGCGGCAUGCCUAACACAUGCCAGUCGAACGAGACCUUCGGGUCUAGUGUCGCACGGGUUCGUAACGCGUGGGAUCCUGCCCUUAGGUUUGGAAUAACUCCCCGAAAGGGGUGCUAAUACCGGAUAAUGUCUUCUGACCAAAAAUUUAUCGCCUUUGGAUGGUCCCUCGUUGGAUUAGCUAUUUGGUAGGGUAAAAGCCUACCAAGGCGACGAUCCAUAGCUGGUUUGAGAGGAUGAUCAGCCACACUGGGACUGAGACACGGCCCAGAAUCCUACGGGAGGCAGCAGUGGGGAAUAUUGGACAAUGGGCGAAAGCCUGAUCCAGCAAUGCCGCGUGAGCGAUGAAGGCCUUAGGGUUGUAAAGCUCUUUUACCCGGGAUGAUAAUGACAGUACCGGGAGAAUAAGCUCCGGCUAACUCCGUG
RNAcentral lists this ribosomal RNA (433 nucleotides) under uncultured bacterium. RNAcentral describes it as "partial 16S ribosomal RNA". It matches the Rfam family "Bacterial small subunit ribosomal RNA", at positions 29 to 507 of the family's 1533-position model. The record is from RNAcentral.